This 468-nucleotide ribosomal RNA is filed under the name uncultured bacterium. RNAcentral describes it as "partial 16S ribosomal RNA". It matches the Rfam family "Bacterial small subunit ribosomal RNA", at positions 28 to 507 of the family's 1533-position model. The record is from RNAcentral.
GACGAACGCUGGCGGCGUGCUUAACACAUGCAAGUCGAACGGAAAGGCCCUGCUUUUGUGGGGUGCUCGAGUGGCGAACGGGUGAGUAGCACGUGAGUAACCUGCCCUUGACUUUGGGAUAACUUCAGGAAACUGGGGCUAAUACCGGAUAGGAGCUCCUGCUGCAUGGUGGGGGUUGGAAAGUUUCGGCGGUUGGGGAUGGACUCGCGGCUUAUCAGCUUGUUGGUGGGGUAGUGGCUUACCAAGGCUUUGACGGGUAGCCGGCCUGAGAGGGUGACCGGCCACAUUGGGACUAAGAUACGGCGCAGAAUCCUACGGGAGGCAGCAGUGGGGAAUAUUGCACAAUGGGCGGAAGCCUGAUGCAGCAACGCCGCGUGCGGGAUGACGGCCUUCGGGUUGUAAACCGCUUUCGCAUGUGACGAAGCGUGAGUGACGGUAAUGGGUAAAGAAGCACCGGCUAACUACGUG